Molecule: long non-coding RNA, 1007 nt
Filed under: Homo sapiens (human)
Lineage: Eukaryota; Metazoa; Chordata; Mammalia; Primates; Hominidae
Description: non-protein coding lnc-PPARGC1A-1:3
Source: RNAcentral
GGCAUACUAUACAGUAACAGCCAACUUUUUGUUCAUUCUAACUCUUACCACACCGAGCUUUCCUUGGUGUCAGCCACAGGGGUCACUAAGCCAUCAGCUGAUCAAGAAAGUCUCCCGAGUAGCUGGACUACAGGUGCCCGCUCUCAGGCCUCUGAGCCCAAGCCAAGCCAUCGCAUCCCCUGUGACUUGCACGUAUAUGCCCAGAUGGCCUGAAGUAACUGAAGAAUCACAAAAGAAGUGAAUAUGCCCUGCCCCACCUUAACUGAUGACAUUCCACCAUAAAAGAAGUGGACGCGCAUGAAAUUUGGUGCCGCGACUCAGAUCGGGGGACCUCCCUUAGGAGAUCAAUCCCCUGUCCUCCUGUUCUUUGCUCCGUGAGAAAGAUCCACCUAUGACCUCAGGUCCUCAGACCGGACCAGCCCAAGGAACAUCUCACCAAUUUUAAAUCAGGUUCCCACGCCGACCCUAAUGCCGCUUGAAGCAGCCCUGAGAAACAUCGCCCAUUCUCUCUCUCCAUAUCACCCCCCAAAAAUUUUUGCCACCCCAACACUUCAACACUAUUUUGUUUUAUUUUUCUUAUUAAUAUAAGAAGGCAGGAAUGUCAGGCCUCUGAGCCCAAGCCAAGCCAUCGCAUCCCCUGUGACUUGCACGUAUACGCCCAGAUGGCCUGAAGUAACUGAAGAAUCACAAAAGAAGUGAAUAUGCCCUGCCUCACCUUAGCUGAUGACAUUCUACCACAAAAGAAGUGUAAAUGGCCAGUCCUUGCCUUAAGUGAUGACAUUACCUUGUGAAAGUCCUUUCCCUGGCUCAUCCUGGCUCAAAAAGCACCCCCACUGAGCACCUUGCCACCCCCACUCCUGCCCGCCAGAGAACAAACCCUCUUUGACUGUAAUUUUCCUUUACCUUCCCAAAUCCUAUAAAACGGCCCCACCCUUAUCUCCCUUCGCUGACUCUCUUUUCAGACUCAGCCCGCCUGCACCCAGGUGAUUAAAAGCUUUAUUGCUCAC